UGACCGCUGGCGGCGUGCCUAAUACAUGCAAGUCGAGCGAACGGACGAGAAGCUUGCUUCUCUGAUGUUAGCGGCGGACGGGUGAGUAACACGUGGAUAACCUACCUAUAAGACUGGGAUAACUUCGGGAAACCGGAGCUAAUACCGGAUGAUAUUUUGAACCGCAUGGUUCAAAAGUGAAAGACGGUCUUGCUGUCACUUAUAGAUGGAUCCGCGCUGCAUUAGCUAGUUGGUAAGGUAACGGCUUACCAAGGCAACGAUGCAUAGCCGACCUGAGAGGGUGAUCGGCCACACUGGAACUGAGACACGGUCCAGACUCCUACGGGAGGCAGCAGUAGGGAAUCUUCCGCAAUGGGCGAAAGCCUGACGGAGCAACGCCGCGUGAGUGAUGAAGGUCUUCGGAUCGUAAAACUCUGUUAUUAGGGAAGAACAUAUGUGUAAGUAACUGUGCACAUCUUGACGGUACCUAAUCAGAAAGCCACGGCUAACUACGUG
This 495-nucleotide ribosomal RNA is filed under the name uncultured bacterium. RNAcentral describes it as "partial 16S ribosomal RNA". It matches the Rfam family "Bacterial small subunit ribosomal RNA", at positions 30 to 507 of the family's 1533-position model. The record is from RNAcentral.